Molecule: RNA transcript, 2783 nt
Organism: Pan troglodytes (chimpanzee)
Lineage: Eukaryota; Metazoa; Chordata; Mammalia; Primates; Hominidae
Gene: FLVCR2
Gene name: FLVCR heme transporter 2
Exons: 11
Source: RefSeq, a predicted model, not a curated record
AAGAGACACUGGGUCGGGGGUGGAGUGGUGGCGGGGGGGGUUGGGGGCGGAGGAAGCCAGGCAGGACGGGGGCGGGGCGGUCACGUGUGCCCGACUGGGCGAGGCCCCAAGCUGGCCCCGGAGAGGACUCGGCGGGCGAAGUGGCUGCGCAAGGAGAGAACUUUUCCUGCACAAGGAACGCCUCGUGGGGAGACCCAAGGCAGGAGCGGUCCGGAGCCGGCUGCGGCGUGUGCGGCCGGCCUUGGGACAGCGAUCGCCGCGGGUGGCAACAGAGAGCCCCAAGCAAAAGUGGGAGCAGGAGCUUGGAGGUGAGCACAGGAAGCCCCACUUGAGGCUUUUACGCAGCCUCGAGUCUCUGUUUCUUCUGGAAUAGGCAAGUGUCCUUUCAACUCUAAGAGACCAGCGGAGGGCACUGUCCCUUGACUGCUGGAGUCCUCACCACUUCUCCAGGAUUCCAGAGGAGACUGUGGCGAUGGUGAAUGAAGGUCCCAACCAGGAAGAGAGCGAUGACACCCCUGCGCCGGAGUCCGCACUCCAAGCGGACCCCAGCGUCUCGGUCCAUCCCAGCGUCUCGGUCCAUCCCAGCGUCUCCAUCAACCCCAGCGUCUCCAUCAACCCCAGCGUCUCUGUCCACCCCAGCAGUUCGGCCCACCCCAGUGCCUUAGCCCAACCCAGUGGCUUGGCUCACCCCAGUAGCUCGGGCCCCGAGGACCUCAGCGUGAUCAAGGUGAGCAGGCGCCGUUGGGCCGUGGUCCUGGUGUUUAGCUGCUACUCCAUGUGCAACUCCUUUCAGUGGAUCCAGUACGGCUCCAUCAAUAACAUCUUCAUGCACUUCUACGGUGUCAGUGCCUUUGCCAUUGACUGGCUGUCCAUGUGCUACAUGCUGACUUACAUCCCUCUGCUCCUGCCGGUGGCUUGGCUGCUGGAGAAGUUCGGCCUGCGCACCAUUGCUCUCACUGGCUCGGCUCUCAACUGCCUGGGGGCCUGGGUGAAGCUGGGCAGCCUGAAGCCGCAUCUCUUUCCGGUCACCGUAGUGGGCCAGCUCAUCUGCUCUGUGGCCCAGGUUUUCAUCCUGGGCAUGCCCUCCCGCAUCGCUUCCGUCUGGUUCGGGGCUAAUGAGGUUUCAACAGCCUGCUCCGUGGCUGUCUUUGGCAAUCAGCUUGGAAUUGCGAUUGGGUUCUUGGUCCCUCCUGUUUUGGUACCCAACAUUGAAGACCGGGACGAGCUUGCCUACCACAUCAGCAUCAUGUUCUAUAUAAUAGGAGGUGUGGCCACUCUCCUCCUCAUCCUUGUCAUCAUUGUGUUCAAGGAGAAACCUAAAUAUCCCCCCAGCAGGGCCCAAUCCCUGAGCUAUGCCUUGACCUCUCCUGAUGCCUCAUACUUAGCUUCCAUCGCCCGGCUCUUCAAAAAUCUCAACUUUGUGCUGCUUGUCAUCACCUAUGGUCUGAAUGCUGGUGCUUUUUAUGCCUUGUCCACUCUUCUGAAUCGCAUGGUGAUCUGGCACUACCCGGGGGAAGAAGUGAAUGCUGGAAGAAUUGGCCUGACGAUCGUCAUUGCAGGAAUGCUUGGGGCUGUGAUCUCAGGAAUCUGGCUGGAUAGGUCCAAAACCUACAAAGAGACAACCCUGGUAGUCUAUAUCAUGACACUGGUGGGCAUGGUGGUGUACACGUUUACCUUGAACCUGGGACACCUGUGGGUAGUGUUCAUCACUGCUGGCACAAUGGGCUUCUUUAUGACUGGCUAUCUCCCACUGGGAUUUGAGUUUGCUGUGGAGCUCACGUACCCAGAAUCAGAAGGCAUCUCCUCCGGCCUCCUCAACAUAUCUGCACAGGUAUUUGGGAUCAUCUUUACCAUCUCCCAGGGCCAGAUUAUUGACAACUAUGGAACCAAGCCUGGGAACAUCUUCCUGUGUGUGUUCCUUACUCUUGGAGCAGCCCUCACUGGGACGGCAGUGAUCCUCGGGCUCUCUCAAAUUGGCUGAUGGUGCCCUCAGUCACCAGCUCUCUUGACUAUCUGAACAUUCAUUAAGGCAGAUCUCCGGAGACAGAAAGCAAACAAAGAAACUCUUGAGAACAAACUCCAAGAGGAGGAGGAGAGCAACACCAGCAAAGUGCCCACUGCUGUGUCAGAGGAUCAUCUCUGAGAGGAAGGUGGUGACAACUCAGGGAACACGAACACCCCACCUUUUCCUUCAGCACAGCUCUCACUGCCAGCACAAAGGGCUUCGCUAGAGAUGUUUUUGGAGGGAAUCAGUGGGACUAUUUGUGGCAUGGAUGGCCUAUUCCUCCUAGAACCCACGUAAGAGCUUGGAUGAUUUAGUUGGAGAAAAUUGCACCUAUCACCAAAUGCAAAUUUGAUUCCCACCUCCACCCCCUUUUAGGUUAUGGGAGUUGGUGUUGGGACAGGGUGGCAGAGAAUAUUGGAGUCAAUCCUAGCUUGGUCUCUUGCCUUCCCUCUUUUCUUCCAUCCAUCAUGGACAAUGCCUGCAAAAUUUUCACAGGAAGAAAGCCUAUUCAGGAUAUUAACUUGAAAUUUCCAGUGUCCUAAGAGCCUCUCAUGAAGCCCAGUUCUAAUAAGUGGCAAGCUGCUCUGCCGGGGUCAUCUCCUGGGUCAUCGGACUGAUUGCUCAAGUUCUGCAGGAGAGGAAGCACCAUUAGAACAACUCCAUCGGAACAGCUCCACCGGGACUUGUGGGCCUAAAUUUUCCUGGCCUAAUGGGUCUGUCUCCAAACCCUCUUUCCUAAGAGCUGAGCAAACCAACCAUAAUAAACUUGACAAAAGAC